This 370-nucleotide ribosomal RNA is filed under the name uncultured Entrophosporaceae. Its description in RNAcentral is "uncultured Claroideoglomeraceae partial large subunit ribosomal RNA". Lineage: Eukaryota; Fungi; Glomeromycota; Glomeromycetes; Entrophosporales; Entrophosporaceae. The record is from RNAcentral.
UUGAAAGGGAAACGAUUGAAGUCAGUCGUGCGGGCGCGUAAUCAACCUACGAUUUGUCAAACAAGUAGUGUGGUGAGCCUCAAGGCCGCCAUAUUAUUGGUCUGGUUAAUCGUCGGUGCGCUUAACCGUUGUCCGCUGGUUAACAUCAAUUUCAAUUGUCAUUAAUUGGCUGGAGGGAUGUGGCUCCUUCGGGAGUGUUAUAACCUUAAGCGGAAUGGUGGUGUUUGGGAUUGAGGAUUGCAACGAAUACCUUAGGGCUGUUCCACCUGGUCUCUCUUUGGCAUCUUGGCGGCGACAGCUUGCUGACGUUGUUAAGAGUUGACAUUGAACAGGCUAGAGUGUGAGCAAAUUCGUUAAGGAUGUUGACGUA